RNAcentral lists this ribosomal RNA (695 nucleotides) under uncultured bacterium. RNAcentral's name for it is "bacterial SSU rRNA". It matches the Rfam family "Bacterial small subunit ribosomal RNA", at positions 140 to 851 of the family's 1533-position model. The record is from RNAcentral.
GGGACAACAGUUGGAAACGACUGCUAAUACCGCAUAAGCCCACAGGUCGGCAUCGACCAGAGGGAAAAGGAGCAAUCCGCUUUGAGAUGGCCUCGCGUCCGAUUAGCUAGUUGGUGAGGUAAUGGCCCACCAAGGCGACGAUCGGUAGCCGGACUGAGAGGUUGAACGGCCACAUUGGGACUGAGACACGGCCCAGACUCCUACGGGAGGCAGCAGUGGGGAAUAUUGCACAAUGGGGGAAACCCUGAUGCAGCGACGCCGCGUGGAGGAAGAAGGUCUUCGGAUUGUAAACUCCUGUUGUUGAGGAAGAUAAUGACGGUACUCAACAAGGAAGUGACGGCUAACUACGUGCCAGCAGCCGCGGUAAAACGUAGGUCACAAGCGUUGUCCGGAAUUACUGGGUGUAAAGGGAGCGCAGGCGGGAAGACAAGUUGGAAGUGAAAUCUAUGGGCUCAACCCAUAAACUGCUUUCAAAACUGUUUUUCUUGAGUAGUGCAGAGGUAGGCGGAAUUCCCGGUGUAGCGGUGGAAUGCGUAGAUAUCGGGAGGAACACCAGUGGCGAAGGCGGCCUACUGGGCACCAACUGACGCUGAGGCUCGAAAGUGUGGGUAGCAAACAGGAUUAGAUACCCUGGUAGUCCACACCGUAAACGAUGAUUACUAGGUGUUGGAGGAUUGACCCCUUCAGUGCCGCAG